RNAcentral lists this ribosomal RNA (500 nucleotides) under uncultured bacterium. Its description in RNAcentral is "partial 16S ribosomal RNA". It matches the Rfam family "Bacterial small subunit ribosomal RNA", at positions 30 to 523 of the family's 1533-position model. The record is from RNAcentral.
AUUGAACGCUGGCGGAAUGCUUUACACAUGCAAGUCGAACGGCAGCACGGACUUCGGUCUGGUGGCGAGUGGCGAACGGGUGAGUAAUGUAUCGGAACGUGCCCAGUCGUGGGGGAUAACGUAGGGAAAAUUACGCUAAUAACGCAUACGAACCAUGUAUGAAAGCGGGGGAUCCCACGACCACGCGCACUUGGAGGGGGCGAUAUCAGAUUAGUUAGUUGGUGGGGUAAAGGCCCACCAAGCCAACGAUCUGUAGCUGGUCUGAGAGGACGACCAGCCACACUGGAGCUGAGACACGGUCCAGACUCCUACGGGAGGCAGCAGUGGGGAAUUUUGGACAAUGGGCGAAAGCCUGAUCCAGCCAUUCCGCGUGCAGGAUGAAGGCCCUCGGGUUGUAAACUGCUUUCGUACAGAACGAAAAGGUUUCUACUAAUACUAGGAGCUCAUGACGGUACUGUAAGAAUAAGCACCGGCUAACUACGUGCCAGCCGCCGCUGUAA